This 253-nucleotide ribosomal RNA is filed under the name uncultured bacterium. RNAcentral's name for it is "partial 16S ribosomal RNA". It matches the Rfam family "Bacterial small subunit ribosomal RNA", at positions 524 to 776 of the family's 1533-position model. The record is from RNAcentral.
UACGGGGGGGGCAAGCGUUGUUCGGAAUUACUGGGCGUAAAGGGCUCGUAGGCGGCCAACUAAGUCCGACGUGAAAUCCCCAGGCUUAACCUGGGAACUGCGUCGGAUACUGGAUGGCUUGAAUCCGGGAGAGGGAUGCGGAAUUCCAGGUGUAGCGGUGAAAUGCGUAGAUAUCUGGAGGAACACCGGUGGCGAAGGCGGCAUCCUGGACCGGCAUUGACGCUGAGGAGCGAAAGCCAGGGGAGCAAACCGG